Mustela lutreola (European mink) is the source of this 11453-nucleotide long non-coding RNA. RefSeq lists it as uncharacterized. The record is from RefSeq and is a predicted model, not a curated record. The transcript is spliced from 5 exons. NCBI's taxonomy places the organism in Eukaryota, Metazoa, Chordata, Mammalia, Carnivora, Mustelidae.
UAAAUUAUUUAAGUAAUCUGACAUCAAGAGCUGUGACAAUGAAAACCACUUCUUACACAUGUUCUAACAAGAAUCUGAUUAACAUUUUUGUGGAUAUGGAAAAUAACUUUUUUUAGUCAAGCUGCCACCAUUGCUGAAUUUGGAAUGAUUUCCUUAUUCACUAGAUGGCAAAAUGUGAAUCAUGCGUGUGACCAAAUAUGAAAAUAAAAUGCCAUCUUUGUGUAGUACAGAACAACCAAGGGAGAGCUCUAGGGAUAUCACAUUAUCUAGUGAUUGACAAUAUCAGGAUGAUAAUUUAUCCCCAACUAUGAGAGUACAUUUCAAUAAGUCACUCAUGCCUGAAGGCCUCUGACUACCUUGACAAAGAAAAUCUAAGCCCAUGAUUUAUUAUAGAUUGGACAACAUGCCUAAUUAGAUCCAUGAAUGGAAGCAAACAGCUUUACGUCCCCUUUGUUCAGAACAAAAACAACCUCUAGGUCAACCAGAAAGCUAAAAAAUAUCAAAGAUAUAGAAACAAGUGUUUUAAAAAUUAAAAAUACAGAAUUAGAAAUAUCUCUCAUCCUAAUCUCUUUUAUCUUGCAAGAUAGACUUUUUGUUGUUGUUGUUCCAUUUCGAAGAGCCACCACUGGACUGAACCUGACAGUCUAACCUCCUGGAAAAGUGAGCCCAUGUUCCUGGUAUUGUUACACCUUCUGUUCUUACCCUCUCAUUUUCCACCUAACAGACUUAUAUCUUUAAACCAUGUUUCUCCUUCAGUUUUUCUGAAGUAAAAAUCUGGUUCUCUCAGAUUGUGGCCUCUUUUCUGUGGUGGACACCCGAAGGCUUCUCUUCUGCCUUUUGCCCCUUCUCACUCUCUGUCGAGAUUGACCUCUCUCAUCCCUGUAACAGCAUCACCCCUCUUGAGUGAACACCACUGGUUUUCUUUGUAAGUCAAAUUCGCCAUCUUGAUCUUCCUCUUUCUGUCAUCUGUUCUGUUUAUACCUAUAUUCUCCCAUCUGUUUGUCCCCCUACUAAUUUUUAUGUCAAUCAAGGCACAUGUUUUUCCUUUCUCUUAUCUUGGGCUACAACCACUUCUUUAGAUACCAGCAUUGGUGAGAGCUCCAGUGACAUUCCCAAAAUGUGCCUUUGUGUGAAGACUUUUCUUAAUUUAACAUGACAGGAGCACUUUUAGUCAGCCAUUAUGAAACUGAGUGAACAGCAAGCUAAUUUUUGUGUCUUUGCUUUUUGUAGUGAAGCAACAGAGACUGGAACUCAGAAAGCUCUCAGGAAUCACUGAGGAAGAAAUUAAGACAAGCAAGAAUUUGGGGAGCUCUUCAUGAGGAAUCUACUCAAAGACCACCUUCAUCCAAUUAAGAACUGAAUGAAAAAACUGUUAGAAGGACUGUGCACUAACAGGCUGGAGGCGAGACAUGUGUCAGAGCUGACCCAGUCUCUGAAGGGAUUCUGCAAGAAGAAGAAGCCUUUGUGCAGGUACUGGGUCAAGAAUGCCUUUUCAAAGCUUGUCUCACACUUUGUGUGGAAGAGGCCCCCCGGGAGGGCACGGUUCCUGCAGAAUGCUUCGCAGUAGGAGGGAGGCAGGAGCCCUCCCCUUCUGUCCUCUAGGGCCCGCCAUCCAUCAACAUCACAACUCUUCAGUGUCCCAUGCAACAACCAAGAGCAACCUGGAAGCAAGUACCUGCUUCAUCAGGGGCUCUGGGGAAGGCUCAGAGAGCGUCCAGAAUAUCCAUAGCAAAAUGUCUCCUCCCCAUUGUCUCCCAGCGCCCCACCCACCCACCCACCAGAGCAGCCUUAAGCCUCGCUUUGUCUUCUGAGCACACUCUGUAGACCUCUCCCUUGCCAAUGACCUGCUGCCACGGAGCCAGUCUCUCCUUCCUCCUAGAGAACCCGUCCUUUAAAAACCCCCUAUCGCAGGUUGCUUUGGCUUUUACGCUCAUCUGCAGAUCAAAGGCUCGUAAGCCUGGUGCACAGGCACCGAGUUUUCCAGCUCCCACCCCAUGACUCCCAUCCUCGGUAGAUGAUCUUGUCUGUCUUUACUUCUGUCACCCCUUAACUUGUCGUGUGCAAGCCUGCGUUUUCAAAUGAUGCAAAAUAGACCCAACACCUCAAUUCUGGAAGCUUACUGAAGUUCAGUCAGACGUUGACUCAGCCAUUGAAACUCCCUGUGUUGGAGUAAUUUACAUACGUAUCUGCGAGGAAAACGGAAGAGCCUGGUAGACAGCAUUCUAUGGCCUUUCUCCAUUAACUCGAGUAGACAAAAAGGAAGCACCACAGCCAAACAGAACUAUUCCCUCUGGUCUUUCUCCCUCUCCCAAAGAAAAAAAAGAACAGAAACACCUGUGCUACCUCCUCCCCAACCUCACUUCACAGAGUCUGGGGAGCCCCGGCCGGCGUCAGUGAGGAGGGGGGACACCCCUGGACUGAAGAUCUCAAUGGCCCCGAUCAUCAAAGUCCCUCAUUUCUGUGAGUUUUGACUUGAGCUGAGGUCAGUGCAGGACAGGGGUGGGAAAUGUGACUGCCUGGAAGGGCUUUUUCAUUCUGGAGUGUCAGCUGUGGGUCAGACAGUCUCAGGGAAUAAGCUGUAAGUGGAGGUGAGUCUUUCCAUAUGUCUUGCAUGAAAAUUGAAAAUGAUCAUCUAAUGUAGUCCAGAAUCCCUCCAAAACAGUUUUAUUGUUUUGAAAAAGAAAAGGAAAAAUGUGAUCCAGGUCGAACGUCAUGGGGUCUCUAAUCCAAAUGAACAAAGCAGGAGAACAGUUCACCCCUGAAAUGGAGUCAAAGAGGGAUCCCAGCGGGUAACAGGUGGGGCUGUGCGUCCAAGUGGACAUUUCAUAAGGCACAAUUUGAUGAGGGUGAUGGCAUGGGAUAGUCACAGGAAUUCCAGACUUCCCAUUUGCUGAUGAGAGGAAAGAGGCUGCUGAACUCCUGAGAGAUCUUUAAAAUAAUUUUUCAGUACUUACUGAGGGAUUUGAUGUAUAAGUUACAAAAAAAAACAAAAAAAAAGAAGAAGCUGGGGCAGAUAAUAGCUAUUUACCCUACAGGACUGACAAUCGACAGUAGAGUAGCUGACAAUAUUCUCCCAUUCCUUGCCUCGAAAUACAGCCUCUCUCGCAGAUAUGUGAAAUUCCACUGUUAGAGAUUCUUUCCUUUGUAUUAAACAUCCUUCAUGAUUCAUUUGGUUUCAUCCCAAUCCCUCGAAGACUGAGUUACGUAUCAUUUUCAGCCUAUUCUGCUCGAUAGGAGUGUAUGGAGGUAUUUAGUUUCAGGAUGAGUCAAGUAAUUCUUUUUAUUUCUAAUUAGAAAUGUGAAAUGCUUAUUGAACCAAAUGAGGUCGUGUCUUGGAUUUGCUUUAAAAUAAAAAUAGGUGGGGGAAUAGGUAGAGAUACGGAAAAAAGACUGGCUAGGCUGAUCAUUGUGGUAGCUGAAUGAUGGGUAUGUAGGAGUUCAUGUCUCGUACUCUGGGCUGUUAUAUAUGUUUGCAGUUUUCCAUAAUAGGACGUAUUUAUUUCAGAGAGGAAAACAAUAAGAUCUUGCUUAAAAAAAUGAAAAUGUUUUGUUGCAUAAUAUGUAAAAGCUAUAAAAAACACUGGAGCUAGACAAUUAGUCUUCUGCACUCCUCUUCCUUCCACCAGAGACUACAGCUGUAAACAACUAGUGUCUGUUCUUCCAGACUUUUUUUUUUUUUUUAAAUCCUAGGAUUCUAAAGCCAAAAAGAACCACAGACACUAUCUAAGGGGGUCUGGUGUCUUCUCUUGUGAGGAAGAAGAGGGCCAGGGCGUUGUGGGCAGGGAUGGGGGCAAGAGUGCAAGGUAGAGUCCAAACUGGGGUCCAGGUCCCACUGCCCCAGGGUCAGUCUCCAGUGAACCCCUCAGGGGACGUGCUUUUCCAAACCCACACUUGUUGGCUUCUCUAGCUUACAGUCUUUUUAUGGUGACCAGUGAGAGAUGUGAGAGUCAAGGCCAAAGUACUGGAGGUCUUUUUACCCACGACAAGAAGUAGAUCCCACAGAGCUCGGUGACUAAGGCAGGAAACCACCUCCCACUUCCUCCAUUCUGGGGGCUGGACGAUGCUACUUACCCUCUGCGGGGACCAGCGUGGGACCUCCUGUCCCUACCACAACCCGGGACAUAACUGAACAGCUCCACUGCACAGCUGUCGCUACCAUUAGCUUAUGAAUCUAUCGAAGCAGAGAAGUUUGAGAAGGAAAAGCAAUAUUCCAGUCCUAGAUUCUAAGGACCUGUUGCUUGGGUGAGGAGGAGCCCAGGAGCACAAGGAAACCUGAAACUAACCCCCCAGUAUAUCUUCAUCCCACUGGACUAAACGAUGAACUGGACAGGGCACGGUCGGUCAUGCUCAUGGGACAUUUCUCCAACCACACAACCAGACCUGCUGGCACAAUGCUGGGCGGUCCCUGCCGAAAGCCACAGGGAAGUGAGCAAAGUCAGCAAAGAGUGCUCAAGCUCUGAUGCGAAGUCGUCUCCAGAGGUCACCUCCUGUCCCACCUCGUCGCCGCAUCCUACUAAAGCCACCUAAAGCCACGCGGGAUAUGAAGCCACGUCUGGGUGCUUAGGGCUUGAAGGAGCUUCCAACUUUCUUCAUCAGCAAGCCAUCCUGAUAGGGAGCCCUCCUCUUCUGACCCCUGUGCCCUGGAGGACAGACAGAAGCCCGCAGGGCGUUUCUAGAGAGAUUGCAUUUCAUGAUAUCAAAGUUGCCAUAAAGAGUGGCCCUCCCUGGCCAUAACAACCUACUGAUCAGCUUCCUGUUGCUGUUGUAACGAAUUACUUCACAAUCAGUGGCUUAGAACAACCCAAAUUCAUGGCCUCGUAGUCCUAGUCACAAUUCCAGGUGGGUUUCACUGGUGCCUCGGCUCAGGGUCUCUCAAGGCCAAAACCAAGGUGUCAGCUGGCCUGGCUUCUUAAUCUGCCUCCAAGCUCCUCCUCGUCGCUGGCAGAAUUCAGUUCUGGGGGCUGUGGUCCCUGUGCUCCGUGCUGGCCGUUAGCUGGGGACCUCUCUCUGCAACUGAAGGCCUUUCUUGUCACAUGCCAGGGGGACUGAAUCGGGCUCAACGAGCCUCCCUUGUGGACGCUCCUGGUGCAUGGGAGGCUACAGGCUGAGCACAGCCCAUGCCCUGCCCUCCAGCAGCGAGAACAGAGAGGAAGGCCACUGAAGAGGGACACCAGUGGGGGAGGCAGCCGCAAACUCACCUUGUGAUUUCCCUCCUUGGACAAAUCACUAAUUAAAAGCACACACACCCCCAUCCGCUUUCUCCCUUGUUACCCUCAAGUUUCUUGAGGGAGGGUGGGGCUUAGGAGACAGGCCCUGGGAGGAGGGCAUGUCGGGUCACUGUGGCCUCAUUAGAGCACGGGAUCUUUGGACGUGGUCCCCAAAGCCAGCGGGCAGGUGGCAGUGAGGCAGGGCCAGAGCGGGUACCCGUGACCCAGCGGGCUACCGGAGCUCAGUCUCCCUGGAAACCACAUACAGUGACUCCAUGGGAGGGGAGGAGACCUGGGGUACUGAUCCCCCAGCUCUGUCCGUCCUGAGGUGAGGACUGCCUGGAAUCAGUUCCCCAGCACUCUGGCCUGGCCUGUGGGAGGGCGGAGCUAUUGCGGAAACCCUGAGGCCAGAGACAGGCAGGUGCAAGGGUCUGUGGUGGGGGGGGGUGCGGCCACAACCGCUUCUCAAGGACCCAGAGGCAUCUGUGCCCCCAUCUUCUUCAACUCUCCCUCUGCCUUCCCCGCCCUGGGCCUAAGGGCCUGCCGCCUCACCUCAGGGAAGUGAGGAUGUCCUCUAGACCCAGCACCUGCCUGAAGCUGUCAUUUUUGCCAGAGACCUUCCCAUCCCCCAACGGAUAGGAAGUCACUCUGGCAGCUCAUGGUCCCUGAUAUACACCCUUCCUUCUCUUGCUACAGGAAGCCUAGGAAGAGUGUCCCGAGGGAAUGGGAAAGGCCCCUGUGUACCAGGAAAAACAAGAAAUCCUUCACAUGAUUCUUAUAUACAGACGUGCACCCAAGUGGCCGGAAGCCAGGAUGAAUACGGUAUGUGCGCCCUUGUGAAGUCCUUCCCCAGGAGAGAGAGAGGAAUUCCCAUUGGAGGCAAGCAUGGAAGCCUGCAGGAAAGAGGGGGCAUGUGAGCUGGGCCUGGAGGAGCAUCAGGGCAGGCCCGGUGAGCCUCAGCUCCCUUGGCCUGCUCUAGGGUCCUCGGGCCUGGGAGGAGUGAUCUGUACCCCUGCCAUGCCAGACAAGGGGGGCGAGACAAGACAGAGAAGAACGAAGGGCGCACCCCGUCUGGGAGGCUUCUAAAGCCAGAUCAUUUCAGGAUCCUCCGAGGGCCAAGUGUAGGCCUCUCCAUGGGAACAGGAGGGGCGCCCUCCCCCCAGCUCGCUGAGGCCACCGGACCUGAGCUUCACUGGGGCCAGGACACCAGGUGGGUCUGGCCGGGCUCCCCUGAGAGGGAGGGCUGAACUUCUGCGUGAAUUCCUGCCUUUCUUGUCACUGGACAAGACCUGGGACGACAGCCCCAAUGCCCUGGAGCAGAGUGUCAGAGAAGGAGGUGAGAGCCCGUGAAAAUGGCCGGGACAGGGAGAGCGCAACCUACCCAGGCAGUAUCUUGGCUUCUAGGAGCCCGGUCGGCUUCAGAGAAAAUAAGAAACUCUGAGUUUCCUGGUUGUUCACACUCAGAAACUAAAGCCAAAGAACUUCCAAACAUCUGGCUUUGACCGCACGAAACCCCCACCGUGCCUGCUGGGGCCCCAUUCAGUGAUGUUAUGGCUCCAUCUACAGCCAGAGGAAGGAGCUCGUUGCUGGAGUCUUCUGUGAGCCACCGCCAGGCCUUUUGGAGUUUCACAGGCUCCUUGCAAUUAAUGCUAAUAAGGCCCUCUCCCUCCCUAGCUGCGCGCUUUAUUCAACGCGGCUUUGGAACUACGCUGGAAGUUAUUUAUUUCAGGCUGUGUCUACAACAGCAGCUGUUCAGAAUAUACUAGAAACGCUUUUAGCCAAAAUUGGUUUGGAGUUUCUAUUUUAAACCACUGUUUGUAAUGAACAGAAUUAAACGGGUUUUUUUUUUUUUUUUCUCCUUCACUUUUUUUUUUUUCUUUUUUAACAACAGAACAAAUAAAAGCCCUUAAGAUAGCAAGAUCGCAUUCUCUUUCAUUCACUGAAUAAACAUGUAAUUAGCCACCUUCCCUGCGCCGGCCUCUGUGAUGGGCGCAGUGCCCCGUCAGGCCAAAUACGUCCCAUAAUUGACUCAUCAGAGAACGUCUGCUACUUCCUCUGGUUGCCUGGAACACCCACAUGGGUCAGAAAAAAAGGCAAGGAGAAAGCCCAGGGACACCAGCGGAGAUGGAGCUUAGGAGGCCUCCGAAACCUUGUGACGCGCAAUCCUUUGAUUGCACAUGACAUGUGCAAUGGAAGCUGGGCGUUGGUUCCAUACGGGGGAGAUUUUUGUCCUUUUCCAUUUUUUUCCUCAGAGGUGUAAUUAGCUUUUUCCUGUUAAAAAAAAGGGGGAUCACAACAAUUACGUUUGUGUGGAAAACUUGGAAAACAAGACAAAAGGAAUAGUAAAUCUAAGGCGUUAAUCAUCCCAUCCACCAAGGAUGACCAGUUGGUGGUGGACCAAGCUCAACAUGGCCCGGAACGAACUUUGUCUUUCUGCCAGUGGUUCUCCAGUCUCUCUACCCACAGGACCUGAUCAUUCUUCACGUCACUGCAUAUUCUUCUGCAUAAUUUUGAAUGGCUUCAGAGAAUCCUUUUAUAUAAAUGUACCAUCAUUUAGCCCAGGCCAGAGUCCCCAUAUCUCACAACUGAAAGCUUCGUACGGAUGAUAUUCCUUCAAUUGAACCACUGGCUGUGGGAGUGCUUGGCCAGAGGGCACUUCCCAUGGAGGCCUCUGACACAAUACAUCAAAUCGCCAUUCAGGGUUGAUCUCCUAGAACUUCUGUCAUAUCACCACCAGCAUCUAGGUGGAGAAGCGCCAAUUGUUGGCCACUUCAGAAGGUGGUAAGCGUGAUGGCGAUGGCUGUGUGAAGGGGACCUUGGCUGAGCCUCAAGGACCCAGAGGGAGGGAGCGAGAGCCGUUCGGAAUGGGGUUUUUAUUUUUUGGUACAUUCUGUACCUCGUAGGUGAUUCAGACUGGAAUGCCUCUGGAAGACAGGCAGCCGGACAUGCUUGGAACUGCUAAGGAUUUAGCCAGCAGAGCAUUACCACAAGCUGGGCAGAUGAAGAGACAGAGAGUCAUGCUAGCUCAUCACCCAUAACUCACCGCUGGCCAGGAUUAAAGUCGCCGCUCGUUCAUUUCUCCUUCUUCCACAUCCUACCCACCAUUUGUGUUCACAGGUGCUUCGCCUGGCCCUGCAUGGUUUGCAAGGUUGAGCUGGGCUCCUCUGGAGGCAAUUACAUUCAUUAGGUCUUUGAAAAAAAAAAAAUCCUGGCGCCUCUCAAGUGUGAGGUGUGAUCUACGGAAUCAAUACGUGGCUUAGGGAAGACGUGCAGAUCAUUUUCUGUGGAUCUGAGACGUUCUUCCAUAUGCAUCCCCCCAGUUGUUGGGUUCAUACGGGGAGGAAAUGACUCGAGGGAUAGUGAGAAGCAGAUCUUACCCGGGGACUGCGCAGCUAAAGUCAUUUGGGGUGAGUUUUGGAAAGAGAAGAGGUGGAAAUAACCAGCUUCAGCUGAAAAGGAGAAACUAAAUUAUGUGUCUUUGAUUUUAGGGGGUACCUAAUAGACUCUCUCCCCUUAGUCACAAAAAGAGGGAAAAGAAAGUAGCAGAGAACCCCAGAAUGUUAGGGCCUGAUGUCACCUCUGGGUGGAAGGGGAUACAGUGACAAGGGUCACCCAACCAAGGUCACAGGCUUUGGGGUGGGGGAUGGGGAUGGGCCGGAGCCCUGCCAUCCAUGUAGCAGAACAGGUGUUUAGUCCUUAGGGAGCAAGAAGACCCCCCCCCCCAAAGGGGAGAUGGCAAGGGGAGUUAAGAGCAGGAGAAAGUAGACCUUGCUCUUUUCUGUCUGAUUCACACUUAGGAGAACGAGAGGCAUGGUUCCACCCCAGGUGCCUGGCCCGCGCGCGCAGCUGCACAGAGCAGGGCCGCGUGGGCGGAUGCCCGGGGCCUCUCUGUUUUUAUGGAAUAUUCUCAUCACCUUGGCAUCCUGGCAGUUUCCCUUUGUUGCACAUGCGUCAUGCUGAGAGCAUGGGUGAGGCUCAGGCUCUGGGUCACGCAGAGAUGGUGUUGUCCUAGCUACCCCAGAGUGUGGGCCAGCAUCUCAUGGCACCCCAGGAGUACGCCAGGGGACCACCUGCCAGGCACCCUCCCUCCACCCUCACACUGAGGGCAUGCCCCUGUUGGAUGGAACUGCCCCCAGGCUUCAAUUCGUCUGUUUGGGCUCCCACCAGGAAAGCUCGAGGCAGCAAGGAUCUCCUUAUUACUGAUAGACCGGAGGCAGAAGUAAUGGAUACGCCACACAGCUCAGAGUGGGACCCUUGAGCGUGCCAGACAAAACGGCCAAGAUCUAAUUACACCGACAGAAAUAACUUACACGGUCACCUACCUUCUGCCUGUCCAUCUCCAAACCAGAUAGCCUUUCGCUUCAAGCAACAAUGCAAGUAUUUUGAGGUUGACAUUUCAAUAGGUCCAAGGUCCUGAAUGCAACUGAGCAACUCCCCAUACUUUUUCUGGGCCACGAUUUUCCCAGCACCAGAAGAGGGUCCAUUGUACAUUCCAAUCUCUAAACGUCUCCUCAGCCUCUGGCUCUUCCUCAUUCUGACAAAACAAACAAACAAAAUCUCCCGCCACUGAGCCAGGCAAAGAAAGAGCUUUUAAAGAUAAAAUGGGAAGGUUUUAACUCUGUAUUACACAACUGAGUGUUCCGCUUAUUGGUAUCCAACGAGACCUUGGAGCAGUACAGAACUUUCCAAAUUACCAUGGAGUGAUGUGCUGAUAAACCCAUCCCAAAGGGGCCCUGGGUGGCUCAGUCAGUUAAGCAUCUGCCUUCAUUCAGCUCAGGUCAUGAUCCCAGGGUCUUGGGAUCAAGCCCCGAAUCGGGCUCCCUGCACAGCGGGAAGCCUGCUUCUCCUUCUCCCACUCCCCCUGUUUAUGUUCCCUCUCUUGCUGUCUCUCUCUGUGUCAAAUACAUAAAAUCAUAAAAACAAAGCAAAACAAAAAAACAUUCUAAGAUGAAGAUGUCUGUAAUACACCUCACCUACACAACGUCGUCGCUCAGCCUAGCCUACUUGGAAACGCUCAGAAUACCUACCCUAGCCUACAGUUGGCCAAAAUCAUCUCCCACGGAGCCCAUUUUAUAAUAACGUGUUGGAAAUCUCAUGUGAGUUACUGAAGGUCGCCCUGCAAGUGACAAUCAGAAUGGAUGCUGGUGUGUUGGUCGGUUGUUGACCCUCAUGAUGGUGGGGCUGCCCAGCCUUGCAAGAGAGGAUCCUAACCACAUAUCGCUAGGCCGGGGGAAAGACCCAAAUUCAAAAUUCCAAGUACAGUUUCUGCUGAAUGCAUACCACUUUUGCAAAAUCUAAGAGUCCAAAAAAUCAUAAGUCUAUCCAUCAUAAGCCAGGGAACGUCUUGUCUAAGCGUUGAUGCCAUUCACUUGCCAAUGUAUUUGUCAACUUCAAAAUCAUUCAAGUAAUUGUGAACUACCCACAUUUUUUUCCUCUGGCAAAGCAUCCCAGGCCACUCAGCCCGGUGGUGUGGACAGCAUGCCUCUGUCAGGUGACGCCGGACACCAAGCUGAAAGUUCUUCCCAGAUCCGGAUUGAUAUGUACCCACCUCACGGUUGGAAAGGUUUACAAGGGUGCCAAUUUGGAAAUCCCACUGUCAAUUAUAAAACAGACCUCCUCCGCACUGAGAGGAGGGUAAAAUGCAGAGAUGGAUAUGAAAAUCCGAAGGGCUGUAUGGUCUAAGAAUAAAAUGUUUUCCAAAUCAAAUUAAGCGACACAGUGGAAAUUGAGGAGAAAGUCCUUAAGGUGACUUUUGAAUGAAAAUGAAAUGUCUGUUAGUAAGUUACAGAGGUGCACUGAUACCAAGUGGCAGCCUUGUAUCUCAUUAAUUUCAAACAUAGAUUUUUAUGUGAGGCUAUUUGAUUAUAAUUUGAUUAUCUGACCCUGUAAUUAAAGUUUAUUGCCAAUUUGGAAGCUUACAUGUAAAAUGAACUGGUUUUCUUCAAAGCAAUAUACAAUCCUUUGGACUCAUUGACUCCUGGUUUUGCAUUUAAAUGGAAAAGUCAGUUAUAACGUGACAAACAGGUUGGGGUUUUGAUCAUUAAUCCUGCUAAAGCAAUAUUCAUAAAUUCAAUUCUGAAUCAGUUGGAAUACUUUUCUUUUAUUAGUUUCUGUGUUAUUAAAUGAGAUUGUUUCUGACUAAUAUAUUUCUGGACUCAAACUGUAGCUCCGAGCUGUUAUUCAAAUCAAAUAACAUGCCCCUUACUUGUGCCUCGCACUAAUAAAUGCCAGCUUGUGAUACAUUUG